RNAcentral lists this ribosomal RNA (468 nucleotides) under uncultured bacterium. RNAcentral's name for it is "partial 16S ribosomal RNA". It matches the Rfam family "Bacterial small subunit ribosomal RNA", at positions 28 to 507 of the family's 1533-position model. The record is from RNAcentral.
GACGAACGCUGGCGGCGUGCUUAACACAUGCAAGUCGAACGGAAAGGCCCUGCUUUUGUGGGGUGCUCGAGUGGCGAACGGGUGAGUAACACGUGAGUAACCUGCCCUUGACUUUGGGAUAACUUCAGGAAACUGGGGCUAAUACCGGAUAGGAGCUCCUGCUGCAUGGUGGGGGUUGGAAAGUUUCGGCGGUUGGGGAUGGACUCGCGGCUUAUCAGCUUGUUGGUGGGGUAGUGGCUUACCAAGGCUUUGACGGGUAGCCGGCCUGAGAGGGUGACCGGCCACAUUGGGACUGAGAUACGGACCAGACUCCUACGGGAGGCAGCAGUGGGGAAUAUUGCACAAUGGGCGGAAGCCUGAUGCAGCAACGCCGCGUGCGGGAUGACGGCCUUCAGGUUGUAAACCGCUUUCGCCUGUGACGAAGCGUGAGUGACGGUAAUGGGUAAAGAAGCACCGGCUAACUACGUG